CCCUUAGAUGUUCUGGGCUGCACGCGCGCUACACUGAAGCGUUCAACGAGUAUUCACCUUGCCCGGGAGGGUUGGGUAAUCUUUUGAAAACGCUUCGUGAUGGGGAUAGAUUAUUGCAAUUAUUAAUCUUCAACGAGGAAUUCCUAGUAAGCGCGAGUCAUCAGCUCGUGCUGAUUACGUCCCUGCCCUUUGUACACACCGCCCGUCGCUCCUACCGAUUGAAGUUUUCGGUGAGCUUGCAGGAGGAGUUUUUUGAAACUGGUUCGCUAGUGGAUUUUUAUUCCAAAUGCUAACGAAUCGAUGGCUUUAGAGGAAGGAGAAGUCGUAACA
This 330-nucleotide ribosomal RNA is filed under the name uncultured eukaryote. RNAcentral describes it as "partial 18S ribosomal RNA". It matches the Rfam family "Eukaryotic small subunit ribosomal RNA", at positions 1470 to 1796 of the family's 1831-position model. The record is from RNAcentral.